RNAcentral lists this ribosomal RNA (1160 nucleotides) under Pantoea dispersa. Its description in RNAcentral is "bacterial SSU rRNA". It matches the Rfam family "Bacterial small subunit ribosomal RNA", at positions 100 to 1257 of the family's 1533-position model. The record is from RNAcentral. Lineage: Bacteria; Pseudomonadati; Pseudomonadota; Gammaproteobacteria; Enterobacterales; Erwiniaceae.
GGACGGGUGAGUAAUGUCUGGGAAACUGCCCGAUGGAGGGGGAUAACUACUGGAAACGGUAGCUAAUACCGCAUAACGUCGCAAGACCAAAGUGGGGGACCUUCGGGCCUCACACCAUCGGAUGUGCCCAGAUGGGAUUAGCUAGUAGGUGGGGUAAUGGCUCACCUAGGCGACGAUCCCUAGCUGGUCUGAGAGGAUGACCAGCCACACUGGAACUGAGACACGGUCCAGACUCCUACGGGAGGCAGCAGUGGGGAAUAUUGCACAAUGGGCGCAAGCCUGAUGCAGCCAUGCCGCGUGUAUGAAGAAGGCCUUCGGGUUGUAAAGUACUUUCAGCGGGGAGGAAGGCGGUGAGGUUAAUAACCUCGCCGAUUGACGUUACCCGCAGAAGAAGCACCGGCUAACUCCGUGCCAGCAGCCGCGGUAAUACGGAGGGUGCAAGCGUUAAUCGGAAUUACUGGGCGUAAAGCGCACGCAGGCGGUCUGUUAAGUCAGAUGUGAAAUCCCCGGGCUUAACCUGGGAACUGCAUUUGAAACUGGCAGGCUUGAGUCUCGUAGAGGGGGGUAGAAUUCCAGGUGUAGCGGUGAAAUGCGUAGAGAUCUGGAGGAAUACCGGUGGCGAAGGCGGCCCCCUGGACGAAGACUGACGCUCAGGUGCGAAAGCGUGGGGAGCAAACAGGAUUACAUACCCUGGUAGUCCACGCCGUAAACGAUGUCGACUUGGAGGUUGUGCCCUUGAGGCGUGGCUUCCGGAGCUAACGCGUUAAGUCGACCGCCUGGGGAGUACGGCCGCAAGGUUAAAACUCAAAUGAAUUGACGGGGGCCCGCACAAGCGGUGGAGCAUGUGGUUUAAUUCGAUGCAACGCGAAGAACCUUACCUGGCCUUGACAUCCAGAGAACUUAGCAGAGAUGCUUUGGUGCCUUCGGGAACUCUGAGACAGGUGCUGCAUGGCUGUCGUCAGCUCGUGUUGUGAAAUGUUGGGUUAAGUCCCGCAACGAGCGCAACCCUUAUCCUUUGUUGCCAGCGGUUCGGCCGGGAACUCAAAGGAGACUGCCGGUGAUAAACCGGAGGAAGGUGGGGAUGACGUCAAGUCAUCAUGGCCCUUACGGCCAGGGCUACACACGUGCUACAAUGGCGCAUACAAAGAGAAGCGACCUCG